GCGUGAGUGAAGAAGGCCCUAGGGUUGUAAAGCUCUUUCACCCGUGAAGAUGAUGACGGUAGCGGGAGAAGAAGCCCCGGCUAACUCCGUGCCAGCAGCCGCGGUAAUACGGAGGGGGCAAGCGUUGUUCGGAAUUACUGGGCGUAAAGGGCGCGUAGGCGGAUUUUCAAGUCAGGGGUGAAAGGCCUGGGCUCAACCCGGGAACUGCCUUUGAAACUGGAAGUCUAGAGUCCGGGAGAGGAUGGCGGAAUUCCCAGUGUAGAGGUGAAAUUCGU
Molecule: ribosomal RNA, 275 nt
Filed under: uncultured bacterium
Lineage: Bacteria
Description: partial 16S ribosomal RNA
Rfam family: Bacterial small subunit ribosomal RNA
Source: RNAcentral